UCAAAGGCCAUGACUGGAUCCAUCCUCUCCCGAUUCGGGCCCCGGUUAGAGGAAGAAGGAAGGUCAACGGGAUCAAUCGAAGGUCAUGGCUCGAUCCAGCCCCAUGUGAUGUGUGGAUUGCUCAAUCGGUUUGCAAUGGAACUCCAGCUAAUCAACGAGUGUGACGGCGACAGCAACUGCUCUGAGGCGCUGCUCUACGACUGGGAGCCUCAUGUUCCACAUCAAGCAGGUUCUCUUCAUGGGAAGCCUUCUCUCCUUCCUGCAUAGCCAAAUAUAUGGGAUUGGUUCUAGACUCUGAAUCUGGUGGCGGCAAAUAUCCAGUGAUCGCGCGGGCGAGCAGUGAUGAGUGGUUGCUCCUCUAUUGAAGCGGAACACUUUGAUUCUUGGGGUAUUUCUUCUCGGAUUUAAGACUGAAUCCAACCACGUUGAGAUAUCACACCAGCCAUGGCAUGAAUGGCACCAGUGGGCGCCCACCCUGAUUCCAAACACUAUGAUUGCAUGGAGCAAGCAGGGGGAGAUGGACGACCUACUUGUGUGCAUAGCACAUUGUUGGCAAGCUCGAAAUUAUUUGGGCCAUGUGUGAUCAGUUGUCCUAAGAUAUAUCUUGGUCAUUAGAAAGAACAGUGGUGUCAUUCUCGCAACAACCUAUGGAAAAUUACACAUGUCCGGUAUGCUUAACAAAUCUAAAUCUCUACAUAGAAACAGAUUCGUUCAUGCCUGUUUUAAUGCUACGAGGAGGAGAGGAGAUAUUUUUUGUUAAUGAUGUAAUGUUUACAAAUCACUUCCUUUUUGUCUUGUUACUUUAUAGUAUUCGAGUUGUCUAUUUUUCCUAGAGCUUGUAAUGGUGGGGCUUACAUGCCAGCUAGGAUUGGUGCUUCCUAGGACCAUGUAAUCCUAUUUUGUUUUGUCUAUCACAUCACAAACUUUGUAAUUUGGUGGAUGUCAAUUUGGCUAGCUCAUCCCUUAAUGAAAACUUUAUUUUUUCUAGAAUGAUAUUAUAUGUGAGUACUA
Molecule: long non-coding RNA, 1011 nt
Organism: Hordeum vulgare subsp. vulgare (domesticated barley)
Lineage: Eukaryota; Viridiplantae; Streptophyta; Magnoliopsida; Poales; Poaceae
Exons: 4
Source: RefSeq, a predicted model, not a curated record